RNAcentral lists this ribosomal RNA (253 nucleotides) under uncultured bacterium. Its description in RNAcentral is "partial 16S ribosomal RNA". It matches the Rfam family "Bacterial small subunit ribosomal RNA", at positions 524 to 776 of the family's 1533-position model. The record is from RNAcentral.
UACGGGGGGGGCAAGCGUUGUUCGGAAUUACUGGGCGUAAAGGGCUCGUAGGCGGCCAACUAAGUCGGACGUGAAAUCCCCAGGCUCAACCUGGGAACUGCGUCCGAUACUGGAUGGCUUGAAUUCGGGAGAGGGAUGCAGAAUUCCAGGUGUAGCGGUGAAAUGCGUAGAUAUCUGGAGGAAUACCGGUGCCGAAGGCGGCAUCCUGGACCGAUAUUGACGCUGAGGAGCGAAAGCUAGGGGAGCAAACGGG